UCGAAACAAAAUUUUGAUGGGAUGUGAAGGGGGUUAGAGUCUUUUCAUGGCAAUGUGGGGAGCCUUGACAUAACAUGUGGUUGGCGGCAAGACAUAGUGAUAGAAAUGAGACAAUGAUCACAGCAAUGUUAGAAGUGGUAUCUAGGGAAAUAAUCAUCUUGCCUGUGAUCCCGCUUGGAAGAUGAACGAAUACGUGAAGUAGACAAACCCAUGUGGUCGAACAAAUCCUCACACUCUGACGUGCUUGCAGAACUCUAUAGACAGAAGCAAUCCACAAACCACAAUCAACACACAAUAAGCACCACAAAAUAUGCAUGACAUGAUCCACAAACACAUAUGUUGCAUGUUUGGUUUAAUUAUGCAAGGCAUGACAA
RNAcentral lists this long non-coding RNA (374 nucleotides) under Hordeum vulgare. RNAcentral describes it as "long non-coding RNA (HVUL_LNC003904)". Lineage: Eukaryota; Viridiplantae; Streptophyta; Magnoliopsida; Poales; Poaceae. The record is from RNAcentral.